GUCGAGCGAGAAGUUUUAGCAAUUUUCUCGUAAAGCGGCGAUUUGGUGAGGAAUACAUGGGUAACCUACCCUCGAGUGGGGAAUAACUAGCCGAAAGGUUAGCUAAUACCGCAUUUUACUCCUGGUCUGCGGAUCAGGAGAGAAAGCGAUACCGUGGGUAUCGCGCUCUUGGAUGGGCUCAUGUCCUAUCAGCUUGUUGGUGAGGUAUUUGCUCACCAAGGCUUCGUUUGGUAGCUGGUCUGAGAGGUUUAUCAGCCACACUGGCACUGCGAUUGAGAUGGCCAGACUCCUUUUGGAGGCAGCAGUAAGGAAUAUUGCGCAAUGGGCGACAGCCUGUUUCAGCGUUUCCGCGUGGGGGAUGAAGGUCUUCGGAUUGUAAACCCCCUCCGGCAGGGAAGAUGGAUUUGGUAACCGUUCGGUUUGUACCUGCAGAAGCAGCCUUUGCUAACUUCGUGCCAGCAGCCGCGGUAAUUUUAAGGUGGCAAGCGUUGUUCGGAUUUACUGGGCGUACAGGGAGCGUAGGCGGUUGGGUAAGCCCUUCGUGAAAUCUCCGGGCCUAACCCGGAAAGGGCGGAGGGGACUGCUCGGCUAGAGGAUGGGAGAGGAGCGCGGAAUUCCCGGUGUAGCGGUGAAAUGCGUAGAGAUCGGGAGGAAGGCCGGUGGCGAAGGCGGCGCUCUGGAACACUCCUGUUUCUGAGGCUCGAAAGCGUGGGGAGCAAACAGGAUUAGAUACCCUGGUAGUCCUUUCCUUAAU
This 754-nucleotide ribosomal RNA is filed under the name uncultured bacterium. RNAcentral's name for it is "bacterial SSU rRNA". It matches the Rfam family "Bacterial small subunit ribosomal RNA", at positions 61 to 806 of the family's 1533-position model. The record is from RNAcentral.